This 520-nucleotide ribosomal RNA is filed under the name uncultured Archaeospora. RNAcentral's name for it is "SSU rRNA". It matches the Rfam family "Eukaryotic small subunit ribosomal RNA", at positions 569 to 1091 of the family's 1831-position model. Lineage: Eukaryota; Fungi; Glomeromycota; Glomeromycetes; Archaeosporales; Archaeosporaceae. The record is from RNAcentral.
AGCAGCCGCGGUAAUUCCAGCUCCAAUAGCGUAUAUUAAAGUUGUUGCAGUUAAAAAGCUCGUAGUUGAAUUUUGGAUUCGGCCAAUUGGUCCAUCUUUUAGAUGAGUACUGGUUGUGUUGGGUCUAUCCGCCUGGUGAUACGUAAUGUCCUUUAUUGGAUGUUGCGGGUAGUCAGGACCUUUACCUUGAAAAAAUUAGAGUGUUUAAAGCAGGCUUAUGCCGGAAUACAUUAGCAUGGAAUAAUAGAAUAGGACGAAGUUGUUUUAUUUUGUUGGUUUCUAGGACAACCGUAAUGAUUAAUAGGGAUAGUUGGGGGCAUUAGUAUUCAAUUGUCAGAGGUGAAAUUCUUGGAUUUAUUGAAGACUAACUACUGCGAAAGCAUUUGCCAAGGAUGUUUUCAUUAAUCAAGAACGAAAGUUAGGGGAUCGAAGACGAUCAGAUACCGUCGUAGUCUUAACCAUAAACUAUGCCGACUAGGGAUCGGGCGAUGUUGUUUCCAUGACUCGCUCGGCACCUUAU